Molecule: ribosomal RNA, 483 nt
Filed under: uncultured bacterium
Lineage: Bacteria
Description: partial 16S ribosomal RNA
Rfam family: Bacterial small subunit ribosomal RNA
Source: RNAcentral
AUUGAACGCUGGCGGCAGGCCUAACACAUGCAAGUCGAGCGGAUGAAGGGAGCUUGCUCCUGGAUUCAGCAGCGGACGGGUGAGUAAUGCCUAGGAAUCUGCCUGGUAGUGGGGGAUAACGUCCGGAAACGGGCGCUAAUACCGCAUACGUCCUGUGGGAGACAGUGGGGGGUCUUCGGACCUCACGCUAUCAGAUGAGCCUAGAUCGGAUUAUCUAGUUGGUGGGGUAAAGGCCUACCAAGGCGACGAUCCCUAACUGGUCUCAGAGGAUGAUCAGUAACACGGGAGAUGAGAUACGGAGCAGAAUCCUAAGUGAGGCAGGAGUGGGGAAUAUUGGGCAGGGGGCGAAAGCCUGAUCUAGCCAUUCCGCGAGUGUGAAGAAGGUCUUCGGAGUGUAAAGGACUUUAAGUUGGGAGGAAGGGCAGUAAGUUAAUACCUAGCUGUUUUGACGUUACCAACAGAAUAAGCACCGGCUAACUUCGU